This 456-nucleotide ribosomal RNA is filed under the name uncultured Streptococcus sp. RNAcentral's name for it is "bacterial SSU rRNA". It matches the Rfam family "Bacterial small subunit ribosomal RNA", at positions 927 to 1382 of the family's 1533-position model. The record is from RNAcentral. Lineage: Bacteria; Bacillati; Bacillota; Bacilli; Lactobacillales; Streptococcaceae.
AAGCGGUGGAGCAUUGGUAGGUUUAAUUCGAAGCAACGCGAAGAACCUUACCAGGUCUUGACAUCCCGAUGCUAUUUCUAGAGAUAGAAAGUUACUUCGGUACAUCGGUGACAGGUGGUGCAUGGUUGUCGUCAGCUCGUGUCGUGAGAUGUUGGGUUAAGUCCCGCAACGAGCGCAACCCCUAUUGUUAGUUGCCAUCAUUCAGUUGGGCACUCUAGCGAGACUACCGGUAAUAAACCGGAGGAAGGUGGGAUGACGUCAAAUCAUCAUGCCCCUUAUGACCUGGGCUACACACGUGCUACAAUGGUUGGUACAACGAGUUGCGAGUCGGUGACGGCGAGCUAAUCUCUUAAAGCCAAUCUCAGUUCGGAUUGUAGGCUGCAACUCGCCUACAUGAAGUCGGAAUCGCUAGUAAUCGCAGGUCAGCAUACUGCGGUGAAUACGUUCCCGGGUCUU